UUUUUUCUUACGAAUUAUAUAUCGAAUUACUAAUGGAUGUCAUAAAUAGAAAUUACUUAUGAGCGUGAAAAAUGUAUGAAAUGAUUGGCUGUUGUAAACAGCCAAUAAAGUUCAAAGAAGUCAUGUCGUCGCAGUGUACCGUUCCGAUUUAACGCGCAUACUUUUCUGUCGUUCGAGGUAGCUCGCAUGCUAGCGUUCUUCAGAUAAGCACAUUCUUAUCUGCGUACAUUACUUACGUAAGCAACAACUCGUGUAAGUCUUUGCUCGGCUUCGCCCCUUUUUCCUCUUCCGUUCUCUCCCGAUGUUUGCAAUUUUUUUCUCCUACAUUUCCUUCGUGUUUUGUUUCUUCCUGUCUCGUUCUCGGUAUUUCAACUCUUAUGUAUUUACGCACUUUAGAAUAUUAUUUUAUUUUAUUUUAUUUUACUUGAUAUAGUCCUUUUUUCAAUAAAUUCCGCUUUUUCUUUUUGAUUGUAGAUGUAAAUUUAUAGAUUUGUUAAUUAAAUAAAGCAACGUUUCGAAAAAGGGAUACAGUUAAUUAUAGUAAUUAUGAUUUGUUUAUUAUAUAUUAAUGAUCGGGAUGGUCACGUGGAUUCGACGCGUGCAAGAAACAAUUGGAAGAUAUAAAUGAGAUAUUCUCACCGAAACGGUGAAUUACAAGUAUAAAUUGUAAUUUUAGAUAGAAUAAUUAACUAAACUAGAUAGGAUAGAAAUUAAUCAUUGCCGAUUCGAAGAAAUUUUAAAAUAAAUAUACAAUUAGCUUUAAUUGUAAUCAAAAAGUUAAAAAAUAUAAAUAUAUAUAUAUAUUAAAUUAUAUAUUAAAUUAUAUUAUUUUUGCAAAUAUAAAAAUGAAUAUAUUCACCGUUAGUAAUUUCUCAUUUUUAUUGUUAAUAAAAUAAUUAUCGAUUCGUAAUUAAUACAAUAAUAUUAAAAAUAAUAUUAAUAAUAAUAAUCAUAUUAAUUGAAAAGCAUGAAUUAGCAAAUAUAAUGAUCCAUAUAUAUAUGUAUAUAUACAUAUAUAUAUAAAAAUACAAAUUUAUGGAGAAAACUAAUAUUAUUCGAGCGAAACGAUAUGAUUUCAUUGAAUGGAACAACAUGUUAUCGAGAAUGACAUCAAUUGACCCGUUCUAAUUGCAAUAUUCUUCGCGUAAAAUGGUUGCGAAAGCCGGUAGGAUAUAACGUAUACGCGAGCAGAUGGUCGGAACUCGUCGCAUGAUCUCGGGUGUUAUCGGUUUAGAUUAGAAACGAACCAUACGCGCAAGUAGAAGUUGCAAGUUGAGGGACGACGUUCGCUGAUUUAUCAGCGGAACGCCGCUCGUACGAGGAAGCCGGAGUAAAUCGACGAAUGCACCUUGGGAUUCUUGUUACUUGCUUCGUUCCUUUGUUACACAACCGGCUCUCUCGCCAACUCGGCCAACUAUCGACCCCACCACCAACUUUGUUCUCGCUCUCUGCUCCCCUUUUCUUCCGUCAUCUCGUACUCUAUCCCUUUCUAUUUCUUUCUUUCUUCAUUUCUCUCUCUCUCUCUCUCUAUCUUUGUCUUACUCUUCGUCGAGCACUCCCUCUCUUCUCUCCCAUGCUCCCUUUAGUCGCUUUUAUUCCAACCCCAUCUCUCUAUUUCUUCUUUUCUUUUUUGACAACCUCCGCUCUUUCUGUUGCCUGUCCUUUCUCUUCGAGCUUAUUCCCCUGUGUCACCUACUCGUCGUCAGAGUUGGGCGUUAUUGGAAGAAACUCCCGUACGAGCAAUUAUCGAAAUAAAACUUCCAUCGUCGCGAUGGAUGCACGUACUCGAUGUUUUAUAUUUUUCGAUUAUUUAUACGAUUAAUCCUUUCGAUUUGAUAUUUUCCUACUCGAUUUUUAUUACUUUUUCUAUCAGAGAUAUGAAAAUAAAAUACGUAUAAAUUAAAUUUUAUUUAAAAAUUGAGACGUUCCCGUAGUUCUUUCGAAUGAAACAUAUGUAUGUAUCUAUCUAAAAUUAAGUAGGUAUUGAAUACUUUCGGUCUUCUGUCAGUGUGUUAUUGUCUACUUAUAUAUAUUUAUUUUCAUUAUAAAUAUAUUUAUAUAUAUUAAAAUGUUCUAAUAAAUAUAGAUUUGUUCAAAUGGAAAAAAAACAAUAAUAUGAAAAUUUUUUUUUAAUACAAAAAAUAUAAAAGAAUAUAAAAAUUUUAAAGAAUCGUUUAAAAUAUAUCAGUCGUUUAAUUUAGCAAUUAUAUAUAUACUUAUUUGUUUAAAUUAAAGGAUUAUCUAGAUCGUUAAAUCACGGCUAAGUCACAGUUAUCAAUCAAGAGGUAUCUAAUAGUAGUAUAAGUAUUUAUAAUCAGAUUAUAAAACUACAAAAUCUAAGAUAUUCAUUGAGAUAUAUCCUAUCAGAAUUGAAAAAGUUAAAUAACGUAAAUAUAAGGACAAAUAUUAGUAUUUUUAGCUAUAAUAGUGGGUUAUUUUUGAUCCAAUCGAUUUAAUAAUCGAUGAUAAUAUUAAUCAGAUAACAAAUAAUAUAUCAGAAUAUCAAUGUUCUGAUCGAUGAGACAUUGGUUCAUUUUUUAAAAAAAAUAUAUUUUUGAAUAAUUUAUUGUGAUAAACGAUUUAAAAUAAUUAUCGAACGAGUAAUUAUAUAGAACAUAGAUCAUAUUAAUGAAAAAAUUUUUAUGAUUUGAUGAAUAAAAAAAAAAUCAAAAUUAAAAAAAAUGUUUUUUAAAAUAUCACAAUUCACGAUUCUUGUACAAGUGAUGCAAAUUUUGUCAAGAAUAUGUUCUACAGUCAAACAGAAAUACCGAGAGGUACGAAAGAUUCGAUUAUUUGAUUAUUUGAAAUACUCGUUAUCUUGGUUAGCAUGUAUUUGUUAUGUGGUUGGACAGUGACAUGAAAUACGACAUUUUUGUGUCAUGUUGCGCCAUUAUGAUGAUAAGUGGAAGAUUCCAAAACUAACGAAUGGAGAUCCAUUUAUCUUUGUAUAAUUCCUAUAAUCGAAAUUCAUAAUAGAAUACAAAGACGUCUGAAAAUUUCGAAAUAAUAUAACAAUUUGUCCACUUAUCAAUUAUCAUUUUAUCAAUUAUCAUAUAAAUCGAAUAAACCGAUGAAAAUUUACAAAACACGAAUCUUCGUUCGAAAUAUAAAAAUAUAUCUAUAGAUAUACUUUUCAAUGUAAUUACUUAUAUAUUAUCGACACGGUUAAUACAAUAUAAUUUCACAAAAAUUAAAAAUUCCUUUAGAGAAAUUGUCAUAAAAAAAAAAAAAUUCAUAUAUCUAAAACUUUCUGUUCUUCAUUCGCCUUAAGAAAUUCCAUCUUUUACACGAGCCGUUUCAGCUUCCUCUGCGAACCCUCUGCAUCUUCCGCGUCUCUACCCUCGCUAUCUAUUUCCGUCCUUCUCUAUCGGUUUUCUCCUUCGCGCUUUCGUCAAGUUACCACCCAUUCUUUCCGAAUUCUCCUCGCCACUCGCAACGUGCCUCCCUCCCCUUAGUCCUUCUCCUUCCUACCCGUAUUUAUACUACAUCCGUCUUCUUUCUUUUUCGUGAGCGUUCGACGGAUCCAAGGGGAAAGUGGUGGGGGGCCACGUGCUCCCAGUACCUAGUCACGCGAGGAUAGAACACGUGGUACAGUACUUAUACUUACUUACGUAUGUCCGUUGGGAUGCAUAGGCGUGGAAACGUGUUUUCCCUCGAUGCCGCAUAGCCGCAUGUUGUUGGCUAGGUUAUAUAGGAUUUUACGCGGAAAUUAAUGCAGUCGUAGCGUGGCAGAACAUCUUAAAGUUCAAAUGUCGCAAUGCGAAAAAAAGGAAAACGGGGAGAAGAUACAGCGUCGAGAUAUACGAAUAUUGUUUCUGAUGUUAUGAUAAAUUACAAUUAAUAAAUUGAAUAUUUUCACGAGUAUCUAAACAAAUGAAUUAAAUGAAAAAUGAAUUUUUAUAUAAUUAAAGUUAGAUUUUUUUGAUGCAUAAGAAUAAAUUUUGAAUAUAAUCGUUUAAUAAAAUCGUUUUAAUUUAAAGUAGAGAAAAUUUGUUAUAAAUCAAAAAUGACCCGGUAUCAGCUAAUUUGUUUUGUAACAGAAAUGAGAGAAAUUUUGGGAUGAUUUAAAAGUGACGCAACAUCCACUGUCCAUGCAAUAGUUUUACCGUACAUUAUAACGAUUAAAAAAUUUUAAUUUUUAAUUAAAAACAGUUAAUGUUUCGAAACAUUUACAUAGUAAAUGUAAGCCCAAUCCCAAUAUAGAUAAAUAUAUUGAUAUAGAUUUCUGUACAAAUAUAUUUUAUAUGAAAUUGAUCAUUUCAUGCUUUCAAAAAAUAUAUCGCCUUUUAUCUUAUCGUACAUGCGUAAAUAUAAAAGCAAAUUUUGUAUUUUUAUUUGUGCGUACGAUAGAUUUAUAUGUACGUCAAAAGAAAAUACAUUUUGGUUCUUAUCACUUUCAUCAAUUUCCUGCUUCACCAUCAUAAAAUUUAAAACUUGAACACGUAUUUAUUUAUUUGAUCAAAGUAUCAAGUUUUACGUAAUUCAAAAUAAUAAUUGAUACAAUUAAGAGCUCGAAGUAAAAAAAAAAAACGAGAAAAUAAAUACGUAGAUGAAAUAGAUCGAAAAAAGGCUAUGAAAGAAAAGAGUAAAAAAAAAAAAGGAUGAUAAAACUAUAAUACUCGAUUGUUAAUCGAGUGAUUCGUUGUCGGUCGUGCAUAGCGGCUGGUUGGCCAGCUGCACUUGACUCUCCUAUGCAAGAUAAAUAGGUGCGGCUGGUUCCUAUUAAUAGCGGAUGGUUUACGUGGCGAUUGCAGUGUACGAGCUUAGUGUAACUUGCCAGCGGUUCACAUAGCGUCGAGAAUUGUUCGUGUCGUAAAUUACAUUUAGUUACGUAACGACAUUGGUGCAUAGAAACAUAAAAAAGACAUCGAAAAUAUUCAGUAUUAUAGUUAACGAUAUUCAAAAGAAAAUCACGAAAAUAUCGUUCAAAUGUUGUGAUAGAGAUUUCGAAACCAUAAUUUAUGAUGAUGGUUAUGAUUGGAAAAUCCACUAAAAUCUUAUUAAAAUUUUAAAAACUAAUAUAUCCAAUAAAUCUAAUACACUCUCUGUUAUUGAGAAUCGACAAAGAAAAUUGAUAAGUUUUGGCGUAUAUUAUUCCUUCUAUUUUUGCGAUUAAAUAAUACUAAGAAUGUUAUUUGUGUACUAAGAUCGAGAAAAAAAUAAAAAGAUAAUAAACUUAGUUAUAUUUGACUCUAUAUUCAUAACCUCUUGCCAAUCUCUCAUCACAUUCUCUGCAUGACACUUACAAUACGCAUGAAUAUAUAUAUAUGAUACAUACCAUCAUAAAAUUCUACAACAUAGAAUAGAAAAUAAAAAAUGAAUGAAUUAAAAAAAAAAAAGAAAGAGAUCGAGUAAUUCCUCGAAAUCUUUAAUCGAUAUACAUGUGUUCAUACACGUGUUCUAUUAGUUUAAGCUAGAACUAGACAAAGUCCAAAGCGCCCUCUCUAUCCCUCACUUCACUCCUAUAUCGCUUGUACUGGACUGUGGUAUGUGCGAAAUACUUUCGGUACGUAUUCACGUAAAAUUCAUACGCGAAUAAAACUGAGUGGGCGCAAAGAACGAUUAAAAAGAAGGCACAAAUACGUGAUAAAAUACGGUUCAUCGAUAAAUCGAUAUAUGAAAUAUAUUUGUUCCACUAGUUAAGCUAGAGCUAGGCAAAGUGUAGGAGGGGAGGAGAGGGACAAAAGAGGAAAGGAGGGGAUCAAACAAAAUCUGGUAUAGGCCGGGCAACGACCUUUAGGCACGUGGCACGAGACACGUGCUGCAUUCGACAAACUGUCGAACGGCCUUUUGCUUCUUUUAUCUGUGCUCGCUUCUGUUUUCACCUCGUCCCGCUUAAAAUUUUCGUUUCGGUCCGCGUUAUCUCUCACCGCGUCGCAAUUUUCUUUUAUCGACUGUACCAUAAAUACGAAACAGGGACUGAUCCGAGAAACUGACGUUUCGCUAUUUAUGGCUCUGUCGGUAUAUCGAAGAAAAAGGGUGAUUUUUGUGGCUGAAAUCUGUAAAUAAUCAACUUUGACAAUCUAUCAGUCUCUUUUUGAAGGAAGAAAAAAUUUUUGCAAAUUUUUUCUGUUUUUCUUAUAAUAAGAAUACACGUUUGCUGAAUCAUAUCGAGAACAAAAAUAAGUAAAAGAAAAUGAAAAAUUUUUUUACGUUAAAAUAAAGACAAUCUGUUUGAUCAGAUGUAUCGAUAGUAAGAUUCUUUCGAGUUGAAAAGCAUGAGUAAACAUGGAGCUCGAUCAUGGCAGUGUGUCAGAAAUGUUCAUUCAUAUCUUAGUUACAGGUAUUCAAAAAUUUAAACGGUGAUUCUUUUAGUCAAAAGAACGAAGAUGAAGAAUAAUUUUUAUUAUUGACAAAUAAAAAUGGAAUAAAAUAUCCUUAAAUGCUCAAAUACUGAUUUUUAAGUAUCGUAGUCUUUUUUUUUUUGCAAUUUUUCUAUGUCGUGUUUUUGUCCAUAUAUUGUUGAAUUUAGAAAUUAUUGUAAUCUCUAUUAAUCAAACCACAUUCAUUCAGGUAAGAAUGUUUUAACAUUUAAACUUUUAAUUAUCAAUAACUAAAAAAUUAAGUCGAAAUUUUUAUUUUUGAUUUUUGUCUUAUUUGGAUUUGAAAAAUUACCAUGAAAAAGUGUAGUUAAUGAUUGAAUGUUAUUUUUAAUGAGAUUAUUUUUAUUUUUAACGAAUAAUUUUCUGAUCAUUUAUGUGAUUUAUUUAUUUUUCCUUUUAUAUUUUUAUACUGUUAUAUAUUCGUUUUGUAAAAUUGGUUAUUUUUUUACUACUUUAAUCGAAAGUCAGUUUAAAUAAUACAAAUAUUAUCGUUUAAAGAGCAAUAAAAUAUGUAUAUAAUAUAUAAUAAAUUGAAGACUAUGAAACUAGAGUCGUCAGAUUAUCAUAUCGUUAUCUUUAUUUAUCCAUGGAUUAUAUGAGCGUGGAAGAUAAUAGUUCAUUUUCCAAUCUCGUGAUACUAUAAAAGAUUUGAUAUAGUCGAUCAUAAGUAUUAUAUAAUUAUAUCUACUUGUAUCUGAAAAAAAAUAAUUGAUUUUAUAUGUAUUUUUAUUUAUUUUCAAUGAUUUCUUAUAAAAUUAUAAAAUAAUUUUAAAUAAAUAUAACCAAAAUCCUAAAAUUGUGAAAUUAAUAUUGAAUUAUGAAUUCAAAAAAGAUAAAAUAAAAUAGAUUGAUUUUAAUUUUUCUCUUAUUAUUUUUUCAUACAAAGCUAAAGAUGGCUAUCUAAAUAUGAUAUUUUUUAUAUUUGAUAUAAUGAUAUAUACAAAAUAUUUCUGACAUAAUUUAGAUAAUAAAAAUAAUUUUAAAGAGGAAAUAUUGUGAAAAAUAAUUUUUAUGUUAUAUGUUUUUAUGUUAUAUGUGGAUGAAAAAAAUUUAUUUAUUUAUUAUCAUAAAUGACAUAUUCGUUUGAAAAUUUUUCAAAUAAUAUGAAUUCUUUUAAUAAUUUGAAUAAUAUGGAAUAAUUUUUUUUUAAUCUAUAGAUCACGAUUCUUAAAAGGAUUUCAAAGUGAUUUUUAGAGAAAUUAUUUUUACUUGUUAUUAUCUAAAAAAAUGUUUAAUAUUUAUUUAUUAAAUCUUAUCAUGCACAAAUAAAGUAAAGUAAAAUAUUAAUCUAUCAUGGCAAAAUUGUGAUCAUAUUUUAUUUAAUAUUAAACAUUUUAUAUUUGUUAUAAAAUAUAGAUUUUUCUUCACUAAACCUUUAAUCUCCAAAAAUAAAUAUUAUAUUAUCUUUACGCUAUUAAAAAUGCAUUUUUAUCAGAAAAUGUUAUCAGAAAAAAGGGGAUCAAGAUUAAAAAAAAGAGUUAUAAAAUAUUAGUUUUUAUACUGCAUAGUUUUCAUAAAAAAAAAGGAAUAGCUUAUAAAAUAAUGCCUUAAAAAAUAUUGAGAAGCACUGAUGUAAAAAAAGAAAAGAAUAAAAUUCAUAAUUGAAUAACAAUGAUUUGAUGAAAAACGAGAAACUGCGUUUGUGAAAUACAAGACGUUUUCAAUAAUUAAUAUUUACUGCAUUGCAGUAAUAGAUGAGCAAAGAUAUUCAUAUAUUAGUAUCUAAGCAAUAAUGUUAAAAGAUUUUUACAUAGGAAUGUAAAAAUAUUUAUACUGCAAUUGACUAUUGCGUUCUUUUUACGUCGUAAAAAUAUAAUUUUUUCUUAUUAUAUGUGAUAUUAGUAUAAAUAUAAAGUGAUUCAUUAAAUGAAUUUAACAAUUUACAUUUAUAAAAUACAAAAUCAAUUAAUUAACAAUUCCGUAUAGAUAAAUCGAAGUAUUUAACAGAAUUGUAUGAUGCUUAUUUGCCAAUAAUGCAUUAUUUGAUUAAUUUAAUUUAAAUUCUUGAUUAUUUUAUUUUAUAAAUGUUAAAAGUGGUUUAUAACACAAAUAUCCAUUGUAUAUUUUUAAUAUUUUUAAGAAUAAUUGAUUUAAAGAUUUAAUGAUAGAUUUAUAAUUUCAUCAAUAUACUUUACUUGUUAUAUUUAUUAUGCAAUGUAAUUAUAAUAAAAUAAAAUAGUUAAAAAAAAAAGAAAUUAAAAA
Apis cerana (Asiatic honeybee) is the source of this 8525-nucleotide long non-coding RNA. RefSeq lists it as uncharacterized. NCBI's taxonomy places the organism in Eukaryota, Metazoa, Arthropoda, Insecta, Hymenoptera, Apidae. The record is from RefSeq and is a predicted model, not a curated record.